AUGGCCAAGGAGAAGACGGCGGCACUGGAGCGUGCAAAGAAGGCGUCGGCGUCGGAGAAGGCAAAGGGGAGAUCCACCAGCCGCGGAGGGUCCUCGUCCAGAUCCCGCCUGCCGAAGGGCUGGGUCCAAGGAGACUGGAUCCAGUCGACCAUCACAGAGAAUGACCUCCUCGACAUGGCCAAUGAGGGCUUGAUCCCUCACGGAGCUGCGAGGCUUCCGGGGAAGGAGUGGCAGCCCCAGCCAGAAGAGGGUGAGUGUGUGCUUUUGGCCACCCAUGUUGAUCGUGGGUUUUCCUUGCCGCCGAGUGUUUUCUUCCGUGGCUUCUUGAAUUUCUUCGGAGCGCAGCUCCACCACUUUACCCCAAACUCCAUUGCAUAUCUUGCUGCGUUCGUGUCCAUGUGUGAGGGUUUCUUGGGCUGUCGACCGCACUGGGGUUUGUUCAAACAUAUAUUCACGUGUCGCUCUCAGACCGUGAAGAAGGCGAGCCCAGGUGAUGAGAGAACUCGAGUCGUCCAAAUGUGUGGGGGUCUGGGGAUCCAGGUGAGGAAUAAGAGCACCUUCCCGCCCAUGACUUUUCCCGAGUCAGUCAGAGGUUGGCAGUCGACCUGGUUCUACUGCCGGGACCAGUCGACGCCAGGGCAGUCGAGUGGACUCCCACAGUUUACCAUGGACCGAGUGAACAAGCCCUCCUCUCUGAAGUUGAUUCCGGAGGAGAAAGCUGAUGUGAAGAUGUUGAUGGAGCGCGUGGUGCAGUUGGUUCGGGAGGGAGUGACGGGCAUGGACCUCUUGGAGGUCUUCCUCAGGCGUCGCAUCCAGCCUCUUCAGUUCCGGAGCCACUGCAUGUGGUUGUACUGUGGGACCGAAGACGAGACUCGAGUCCAUCCAGAAGCAGUCGACGAUGUCACUCUGGAAAGAUGGAUGGUAGCCGUUACCGGAAACAAGGACAACCCACGCGGAGCCAGAAGGAUUCCUCCACUCGACCACAACAGCGAUCCAAACAAGGUACAUUUGCUCUGCCCUCCACUACAUUCUUGUCGCAUUCAUUUCUGUUUAUCCUGCCGACUGGUCGACUGA
RNAcentral lists this ribosomal RNA (1074 nucleotides) under Triticum aestivum (bread wheat). Its description in RNAcentral is "partial small subunit ribosomal RNA". The record is from RNAcentral. Lineage: Eukaryota; Viridiplantae; Streptophyta; Magnoliopsida; Poales; Poaceae.